GACGAACGCUGGCGGCGUGCUUAACACAUGCGAGUCGUACGGUAAGGCCCUUUCGGGGGUACACGAGUGGCGAACGGGUGAGUAACACGUGAGUAACCUGCCCACAACUUUGGGAUAACGCUAGGAAACUGGUGCUAAUACUGGAUAUGUGCUCCUGCUGCAUGGUGGGGGUUGGAAAGCUCCGGCGGUUGUGGAUGGACUCGCGGCCUAUCAGCUUGUUGGUGGGGUAGUGGCCUACCAAGGCGGCGACGGGUAGCCGGCCUGAGAGGGUGACCGGCCACAUUGGGACUGAGAGACGGCCCAGACGCCUACGGGAGGCAGCAGUGGGGAAUAUUGCACAAUGGGCGCAAGCCUGAUGCAGCAACGCCGCGUGCGGGAUGACGGACUUCGGGUUGUAAACCGCUUUCAGCAGGGACGAAGCUUUUUGUGACGGUACCUGCAGAAGAAGCACCGGCUAACUACGUG
Molecule: ribosomal RNA, 465 nt
Filed under: uncultured bacterium
Lineage: Bacteria
Description: partial 16S ribosomal RNA
Rfam family: Bacterial small subunit ribosomal RNA
Source: RNAcentral